ACGCCUUCCAGGUACGUUUCUUCAUUGUCUUCUAAUUCGUUCUUGUCUAGAGGCGUAAGAUCGGAUUCAUUUCAUCGGAAUGGAAUCGGAAUUGGGUCUCAGAGUCGUUCGAUUUCCGUCGAAGCUUUGAAACCUAGCGACACUUUUCCCCGUCGCCACAACUCUGCUACCCCUGAAGAACAGAACAAAAUGGCAGAGGCUUGUGGAUUUGAUAGCCUCGAUUCACUUGUCGAUGCCACUGUUCCUAAAUCGAUUAGGCUUCAAUCGAUGAAAUUCUCUAAGUUUGAUGAAGGGUUAACGGAGAGCCAAA
Molecule: unclassified non-coding RNA, 310 nt
Filed under: Hevea brasiliensis (rubber tree)
Lineage: Eukaryota; Viridiplantae; Streptophyta; Magnoliopsida; Malpighiales; Euphorbiaceae
Source: RNAcentral